This 791-nucleotide ribosomal RNA is filed under the name uncultured bacterium. RNAcentral describes it as "bacterial SSU rRNA". It matches the Rfam family "Bacterial small subunit ribosomal RNA", at positions 8 to 796 of the family's 1533-position model. The record is from RNAcentral.
AGAGUUUGAUCCUGGCUCAGAUUGAACGCUGGCGGCAUGCUUUACACAUGCAAGUCGAACGGCAGCGCGGGGCAACCUGGCGGCGAGUGGCGAACGGGUGAGUAAUAUAUCGGAACGUACCCAAGAGUGGGGGAUAACGUAGCGAAAGUUACGCUAAUACCGCAUACGAUCUAAGGAUGAAAGCAGGGGAUCUUCGGACCUUGUGCUCCUGGAGCGGCCGAUAUCUGAUUAGCUAGUUGGUGAGGUAAAGGCUCACCAAGGCCACGAUCAGUAGCUGGUCUGAGAGGACGACCAGCCACACUGGAACUGAGACACGGUCCAGACUCCUACGGGAGGCAGCAGUGGGGAAUUUUGGACAAUGGGCGCAAGCCUGAUCCAGCAAUGCCGCGUGCAGGAUGAAGGCCUUCGGGUUGUAAACUGCUUUUGUACGGAACGAAACGGUCUGCCUUAAUACGGUGGGCUAAUGACGGUACCGUAAGAAUAAGCACCGGCUAACUACGUGCCAGCAGCCGCGGUAAUACGUAGGGUGCGAGCGUUAAUCGGAAUUACUGGGCGUAAAGCGUGCGCAGGCGGUUAUAUAAGACAGAUGUGAAAUCCCCGGGCUCAACCUGGGACCUGCAUUUGUGACUGUAUAGCUAGAGUACGGUAGAGGGGGAUGGAAUUCCGCGUGUAGCAGUGAAAUGCGUAGAUAUGCGGAGGAACACCGAUGGCGAAGGCAAUCCCCUGGACCUGUACUGACGCUCAUGCACGAAAGCGUGGGGAGCAAACAGGAUUAGAUACCCUGGUAGUCC